RNAcentral lists this long non-coding RNA (7213 nucleotides) under Cricetulus griseus (Chinese hamster). RNAcentral describes it as "lncRNA (ENSCGRG00015041650.1)". Lineage: Eukaryota; Metazoa; Chordata; Mammalia; Rodentia; Cricetidae. The record is from RNAcentral.
GCCGACUGAAAUGAAAUGUAUGGAGAAGUAAUUUUUUAAUUUUUUGGGUGUAUUUAUUUUUUUUUUUUGAGGCAGCAUCUCUCUACAGAGCCCUGAUCUGCCUGUAACUCACUACAUAGGCCAGGCUGUCCUCAAACUCAUAUUGAUUUGCCCACUUCUGCCUUCCAAUGCAAUAUUGUUUUAUUCUCACUUGGGACAUCUCUUACACUAGCUAUACGAACAAUUAGAACCUCUGCAUCAGAAAUACACUUUCUUAUGCAUAAGUGGUACAAGGUUCAACCCCCCUAGCACUGCCAAUCCCCCAAAGUAGGUGUGACAUGAAAACAUCUGAGAAUUUGUUCCUAUGAUGGGACAGCUAAAAUUAUCCUUUCAGAGUCUGGUAUUUCUGAUUCACAAGGGUUCUUAAAAUUUUUAGGGACAGAUGGACAUAAGAAGUAUGCUUAUAAAUUCCUAUCUGGAAAAUAUAGUGCUGGAUUAGAACCUUAAAUAUUAAUAGCUGUAAAUACCAAGCCCAUGAAAUGUUCUCAAAGUAAAAUUUAAUUCUGUGAUGUUACAGCCAGUGAGUACAAGCUUAUGAUUAGAUCAUGUAAAGUGAAUUUUCAAAUCAAGGAUUUCUGUAUUAGGGUGUAUUUUCAAUAUACUGUCUUGUGAGUUACUGUGAAUUAACUAUCAACACAUUUACUUAUUUUUCUGUGGGUGUCUCUGCGUGUGCAUGUCAGGUGAGAAGACAACCACCACAAAUCUGUGGUGUGCCCGAGUAGGGAUCAAAUGGCCUUAACCUGCUGAGCCACCUCACUGGCCCCAAUUCUGGGAGUUUCUCAGCUUUGAUUAUAAACUUGUCUCUGUAGAUCUAUGAAUUCGGACUAUAUAAACCUGGUAUUUUAACUUAUUGCUCCAUUCAUGGCAUUCUCAAUUUUCCUAGUUCUCAAGGCCAGAUCCUGACCAAUUUCACAUCAACCCGGGACCAAGCAAAUAUCCUCCUAAGAUAAAAUCCCAUUCAGUUCCUAUUAUUAGGCCUAGUUUCAUGCAUAGAAGCAUUAUGGCAUUGAGAUUUAAAAAAAAAAAAAAGCACUUUAGGUAUCCUAGUUUGCUUUCUGUUUCUGUGGUAAACACCAUACAAACACAGGUUGGGAGGGAAAUAAAGGACCUGUUUCAGUUUCUACUUCCAAGACACAGUCCAUUACUAAAGAAAGACAAUCAGGAAUUCAAACAAGUAAUGAAGCAGAAACCAAGGAGGAAUUGCUGGCUCACUCUCUGACUUACCAUCCUGAUGGAGGCAAUUCCUUUUGCUUUGGAGUUUAGUUUUUUCUUCCUAGGUGACUCUAGGUUGUGUCAAGCUGACAAUAAAAGCUAGCCAGCAGACAAAAAACAAGAAACAAAAACAAAACUAGCCAGCAGAGAGAGAGAGAGAGAGAUCCUGAGAUCAGUUACUUAUGAAAACACAUGGCCUAUACAAUUACUGGCAAAAAACCCUCCAGUCUUCACCAAAGUUUUCUCACAAUUACUACUAGCAAUAAUAAAUAUCUGCAAAAUAUCAGCCAACAUCAAAAAAUACAUGAUACCUAAUUAAACAUAGUAACUUUUAAAAAACAAGAAAGACUAAUAAAUAUUCUUAACAUGUAAGAUGUCUCAAGACUGUUUUAUCCCAGAAUAUUCGUGAAUGACUUAAUCCUUCAAGUGGUUUCAUUUUCAGGUGCUUUAUCAGAGGUGUGUAGGGUCACAUAGGGUGCAUGUGGAGGUCAGAGGUUUGAAAUUAAAGUGUUACUCUUAGGAACAUCAGCCACUUCCUUUGAGACAAGGUUUUGCUUUGGCCUGGAGCUCACCAAUUUGGCUAGAAUGGUUAGGCCAGUGAACCUCAGCACCUGUUUCCAUUUUAAGUGCAUGCUCCCACAAGCCACUAAUAUUGAAAAUGUGACACUCAGGAAGGCCUCUCUGGGCUCCAGCCAUUCCAUAUCUGUGUGGAAUAUAAGCAACUUUCCUCAUUCCAUCUGUCAUGUCUUCAUGACUUUUCCUUUAUCAUCUAUUUCUAAGCAAUAGUAGCUUAGGUUGAAUUUUCCAUGAACAGCUCCUUCACAGGCAAGUACAUAGUCUAAAGCCAAGCAAUUUUGGUAAAUGGCACUGCAAUUUUGUUUGCUGUCUGGCUAGAAUAUCAAGAACCCUUGCAGUUUCAUUGGCUAUGAUCUCAAAAAACUUCCUUAAUCUGAUGAUGUGAUUUCACAUGUAGUCCCCAAAUCCCUUGCUUUCAUCCUUGUGGCCUGGCCAUAAUACUAAAUGAUACAUUCUGGGGUCCAUUAAUCAUCCUUCCAAUUCCUGAUCUGUAAAGCUUGUUGCUUUGUGUUUUGCAGUCCUCAAAUGCCUGCAUUCCUUACUGUUUGCCUCUAUAGAAAGGGGUAGCAGAACUGACCUGGUUGGAUGGAACCCAGCACACAUGACCCCACCCCCAAGUGAAGCAACUAUAUAAGCUGCCUUCUCGAAUAUCCAAUGUAGCCCUGAGAGCUUGUCAUUCCAUUGUCAUCUCUACUGUCCCCAAGCCUGAUCAAGACUAAUGGGCUGGGAAACAGUACAGCAGUGACAGCUAUUGACUUUUGUUUUGUUUUGUUUUUCGAGACAGGGUUUUCUCUUUGCAGCUUUGGAGCCUAUCCUGUCACUCGCUUUGGAGACCAGGCUGGCCUCGAACUCACAGAGAUCCGCCUGCCUCUGCCUCCUGAGUGCUGGGAUUAAAGGCGUGCACCACCAAUGGCCGGCACAGCUAUUGACUUUUAUUCCUUGGAAAUCUACCAGUUUUGCCUUGUGGACCACUUUAUGGUUUUGGUAUUCCUAAUAGUCUAGAAUAGGUAAUCUUUUCAGAACUGGUAUAGCCUCUAAAUUCCCAUGAUUUCCCAGGUACAUUGUCUUUUUCCUCCAGAAUCAAUCAGGCCCCUUUCAUUAUAUAGGGCCCCCGUAUAGAGUUAGAAGGAGGCAUAGUCGGUAUAUAUACUGUUGAUUAUCCCAGGAGCCAGCGGGUGAGCCAAGGUCUGUCCUCUAUGCUCACUACAGAAUAACCAGCAAAGGAUUCACCCUCCUUGAUAAAGUUACAUUGACCUCUAACAGGCUGGAAAUGGCUCAGUGGUUAAGAGCAGAGUUCUUCCAGUGGUCUUGAGUUCAAUUCCCACCUCAUGGUGGGUCACAACCAUCUCUAGUGGGGUUGUUUCUAGUGAGACUCUAGUAGCCUCAGGGGACUAUAUUGCCUCAGAUGAAGCUUCAGCUGCAGCAGGAGUGGACAAAUGCUGAUGGCAUGGUGACAACAUGGGGAUUCUUCAGAACAGGCUUCUCAGAUUCUGGUCUACAUUUUUAGCUGUUUUCUUUGCUAGUAUGCUGUAGCAUGUUUUAAUAAAAGACUCAGAGACUAAUAUUGGGGUUCAAGCUGAAGAUCAGAAAAGCAAAGCAGCCAGCCACUAGCUCUUGCCUCUACCUCAGUUCACACCAAAGGGGUAAUGAUCCUCAAACUGCUCCCGACUUUACUGUUCCUCAUAUUCAGAUUGCUAGUCUCUCCUCAAUGCAGCUAGAGACUAACUCUCAGACUGAAAGCCAGCUCUGAGACCCUGCACCUGUCUUAUAUACCUCCCUAAUACUGGAAUUAAAGGCAUGUGGUACUAGGCGCUGAGAUCACCUUUGUGUGAGCCCUUUAAGAGUGGAUCAAUUUCAUGUAGUCAGUGUGGCUUUGAACUAACAGAGAUCAGUUUACCUCUUAAUCCUGAGUCCUGGGAUUAAAGGUUCGUGUCACCACUGCCUGAUCUCUAUAGCUUGAGGCUGGCUUUGCUUUCUGAAUCCUCAGGCAAGCUUUAAUAAAUCAUAAAUAAUAUAUCACACAGCAUGCUCUUUGUAAUUUUCCUCUAAUCAGGCUCAUAACCACUGUGGAUAGGAAUGAACUAGGAACCAACAGGGAAUGGGUACACAAGAAGGGCAGGGAGGGAGAGGAUGAACUUUUGCUCCAUCCAUUACUAGACACACCCCCUUGGGGCUAUUUCAUGUUCCUUAUACUAUUCUCAUUAUGCAGACCCCAGUAAUGACACUAUGGACGAGGCUCAUCAGGGAACUGGAGUUGGCUCAAUGGCUGCUUUGGCCUGUGUGGUCAAGUCCCUUGUCAGACUCUUCCAAACACACUUAUGUACUUCUAGCCCACCAUGCUACUUGAGCCACUGAAGUCCAACCUGUAUGAACUACUUGGGCAAGUCCUGGGGUUCCAGGAAGUGGUUAGGCCCCUCUUGUCUUCCUGGGACUUACCAGGUUCUGAUGUACUUCAGUCUCUGCCCUAGCAGAGCAAGAUGGUCCCUUUUCACCAGGGUGAGUUGUGGUGAGGUGACAUCCCUAUCACCAAAUCCCAGAGAGAACCAAGAAAUGCGGGAUUCUGAACAAAGAGACGGGACACCAAGUUUCUACAGGAAAAAAAGAGUUUUUAUUUGUGGUAGCACAGACCAGAACUAUUUACAGACUUUUAUGAUUUUUUGUUUCUUUUCCUCCCACAUGUGGCAACGUAUAAUUUCACUGGCUAUUUUAAAACCACAGGGUGGGAUUCUGAAAGUACUAGAAUGUAGAGGAAGCAAGGGUUGCUUGGGUAAUGUACAAGAUCAUAUAUAAGCAUUUUGGCAGAGACAAGACCACAUGGUGGUCUCCUUGUUCUUCCUCUAAGGUCUACGAGAAGGCUUGCUAGCAAGUGCUGAGAACGACUGUUGAGUGCUUAGCUCUAAAUAGGACAUUUAUAUAACCCACUUCAAGGCUCACGGUACAUCACACAAGAGGCAGAAAGAAUGUUAAGAGCCAGAGGAAGCCAAGAGAUAUGGAACACUGACCUGGCUGUUGCACCCUUGAACUCAUGGUAGCCACGAUUACUUCUACUCAAGAUCUGAACAAGAUGGGCCUGUCAACAUCCUGUUACGAAGGGAGAGGGUCUCAUGGGACCUCAUUCCUCUCCAAGUAUUUACACAGCUAAUGCUUGAUAGAAGAAGAAAUGUUUUCUUCAGGAAUGUAUAGUCACUGGUAGGGUGCCCAUGUACUUGUAAGCAAAGCCAAGGGAACUUACUGGAUGGGAGAGGAUGAACCCUUGACAUGGGGACAGACAACAGAAGACAUAAGAGUAGAGUGGGGAUCAGUGGGAGUAGAAGAAUAAAAACAUUAAAAAGCAAAUAAUAAAGAAGUCAGGCACAAUGGUGCACAGCACUAGGGCCCUAGGGAGAUAACGCAACAUGCCAGUCCCAGCUAUAUGAUGAGAGCCUGCCUCAGGAAAAAGACAACUAAUGAAGGAUUAAAGGAAUAUGGCUUAUAAAACUAAACAAAGCAAAAACAAAACAAAACAAACACAAUAAAAAUAUCUUGUUGGGGGGGCUGGAGAGAUGGCUCAGAGGUUAGGAGCACUGACUGUUCUUUCAGAGGUCCUGAGUUCAAUCCCCAGCAACCACAUGGUGGCUCACAACCAUCCAUUAUGAGAUCCGGUGCCCUCUUCUAGUGUGCAGAUAUACAUGGAAGCAGAAUGUUGUAUACAUAAUAAAAUAUUUAAAUGCCUUUGAUCCCAGCACUUGGGAGGCAAAGGUAGAUCUGAGUUUGAGACCAGCCUGGUCUAUAAACUGAGUUGCAAGAAAGGUAAGGCUACACAGAGAAACCCUGUCUUGGAAAAAAAACAAAAAACAAAAAACAAAAAACGAAAAUCUUAAGGUGGGUGUGAUGGCCAAUGCCUUUAAUCCCAGCAAUUGGGAGUCAGAGUCAGGGAGAUUCCUGUGAAUUUGAGGCCAGCUUGGUUUACAAUAGUGAGUUUCAGGCCAUCCAAGGAUAGUACAUAGUGAGACCCUAUCUCAAAGGGCCAACAACAAGAUAAAAAUCAUCUUUAGCUGGGCAUUGGUGGUGCACGCCUUUAAUCCCAGCACUCGGGAAGCAGAGGCAGGUGGAUCUCAGUGAGUUCGAGGCCAGCCUGUUCUCCAGAGAGAGUGCCAGGAUAGGCUCCAAAGCUACACAGAGAAACCCUGUCUCGAAAAACCAAAAAACCACAAUCAACUUUAUGUUCAUUCCCCAGUCUCCAGGCAAAUGCUCCACAGAUUCUGGUGCACAGUUGACUCUAGCAACUCUGACAACAUAGGCCUCCUAACUUUUCUGACCUAUCUUUUGCCAGGCAUCCUUUCCCAACUGUUUUACUAUCUGAAAACACUUUUCUUAAUCAUGCUUGCUCACAAGUUUCCAUUUAACUAGUUCUGGGCUCUGCCUGCUUAAUGUUUCUCUAACAUCUCUAGAGCUGAUUGUAUAUGGAACCUUCACUGACCUUUCACCAGGAGCCACUAUUUAAAUCUUUAAAAAUACCAGCUGGACAUGAUGGCACACACCUUUUAUCCCAGCACUUGGAAGGCAGCUGCAGGAGGAGCUCUUAGUUUGAGGCUAACCUGGUUUAAAAUGCAAGUUCCACAACAGCCAGGGCUACACAGACAAACUGUGUCUUGAAAAACAAAAACAAAAAAACCAAAAUUAUUUAAGUCUUUAGAUUAACUUCCCACAUUAAACUAUGUUAUUUAUUUUAUUUACACUAAGCUCCCUAGGCAUAGAUCUUUGGAGGAAUGUCAUUAAGUAGCCCAAACCUGUUAAUCCCCUACCCUGAAAUAAAUUGUCAUUAUAGUUUGAAUUACUUGUGAAUGAAAACCAUCAUUCAUGUAGUCGUAGAACAAACAACAAAGUCCAACAGGGCAAAAGAUCAUCCAUUCAGAUUCUGCAAUGUAUGCUUUAAAAAUACUAACAAUAGGACCUGUUCUGGCCUUUGAGCCUAGAGCUUUUGUUUGCCAGGUACAGCAAGCACCCUCACAAUCAAGACUGACAUCCCCGGUGCCCAAAAUAAGUCUGAUUACAAUUAUGUAAUCCCCCCAAACUCAAACUUUUGGGAAGCAGCUAUAUUCAUUCAACCCAGCUGAGUCAAUUCUACUUCUCCACAUAUCCCGAUGCUUCUGCAAAUAAACUGCUUCCCAAAAACAAGGUACACAAGUGCGUACAUGCAUGCACAUGUAACAAGGACAAUCUCAUUCACUUAAGGAUGAAGUAAAACUACAAACCAGAACCACAACUUUUCCGCACAAGCAAUAAAUCCUAGUUCUUCUAGAGCCACCGCGCCUUGGUUCUCCCCACAAAAGCAAGUGUUAUUCUGAAAGACAAAGAGUGCAUUUUGAGCAUGUUUAACCUUAGACCUAGAAUGGUUAUUUUAAAA